AGUGAACGCUGGCGGUAGGCCUAACACAUGCAAGUCGAACGGCAGCACAGUAAGAGCUUGCUCUUACGGGUGGCGAGUGGCGGAUGGGUGAGGAAUACAUCGGAAUCUACUUUUUCGUGGGGGAUAACGUAGGAAAACUUACGCUAAUACCGCAUACGAUCUACGGGUGAAAGCAGGGGAUCUUCGGACCUUGCGCGUUUCAAUGAGCCGAUGUCGGAUUAGCUAGUUGGCGGGGUAAAGGCCCACCAAGGCGACGAUCCGUAGCUGGUCUGAGAGGAUGAUCAGCCACACUGGAACUGAGACACGGUCCAGACUCCUACGGGGGGCAGCAGUGGGGAAUAUUGGGCAAUGGGCGCAAGCCUGAUCCAGCCAUACCGCGUGAGUGAAGAAGGCCUUCGGGUUGUAAAGCCCUUUUGUUGGGAAAGAAAAGCAGCAUGUUAAUACCCCGCUGUUCUGACGGUACCCAAAGAAUAAGCACCGGCUAACUUCGUG
RNAcentral lists this ribosomal RNA (492 nucleotides) under uncultured bacterium. Its description in RNAcentral is "partial 16S ribosomal RNA". It matches the Rfam family "Bacterial small subunit ribosomal RNA", at positions 29 to 507 of the family's 1533-position model. The record is from RNAcentral.